UCUUGAGUUUUAACCUCUUUCUUUUAAGAAUAGCCUCAUGGGAUGAAAGCCAUCUCUUUGCAUAUCUUAGAUUGAGCAGAUUGGUAGGUGUUCUAUAGUCAUUGAUUUCAAUUAGCAUUAGGGAAUAUUGUAUUUAAGUUACUGUCUUCUAAUCCACAUUUCAGAGGAAAUGCUUUAAUAUAUAAUAUUGAUGAGAACAGCAAAUUCACGUCUGAAAAUGCAAGAUUUUUUUUUUUUACUUAAUAAAGACAGCUAUUUAAAAUAUUUCUCUCUGAUCAUAUAAUAGUAAAAUAAUAGUAAAUCUUUGUUUCUUCUCCUUUUAGAAAUACUUAAAACAAAAAUCCCUCCACAAUAAAACAGGCAACCACAGUAUCUAUGGGGCAUCUUUUGCACCUCUCCCUUUCCCUGGCCAAAGCUCUGAGGCCUAGUGGUCUCCUCCAGACAAGCAGAGCCCCAGGGAGUACUGGGGUCUCUUCCAGGCAAGAAGAAUCGUGGAGCAGGGAAAGAGCUGGAAUCUUCUUCUAGUGAAUCAGGGCUGAAUGCAGUUGUACUGCACUCCUGAGUUCCUCUGGAAGAACAGCCAGCAAGUGAGCCACAGGCAGACAUUAGUGGAAAAUGGCCCCUGUGUGCUGCUGUGCAGGCCUGAGCUCUCAGAAGGUGGCAUGCUCAUGUCUCAGGUCUGCUUUAACAGGCCUUUGCUGUACUUUGAAUGACACCUUUAAGAAUUCUGCUUUCCUCUUUCCUUGCUGUUCCUCCUCUUCCCUUCCCUUCCCUCCCCUCUCCUCUCUUCUCCUUUUCUUUUCUUUCCUUUCCUGUUCAGUUCAGUUCUGUUCUGGUGGCAGGGGUAAGGACAGAAUCUAGCACAUGACAUGUGAUAGGCAAGGACUACAGCUCAGAGACAAAGUGACAAGGAGUCACAAACGGAGGCUUGUGGGAAGUAUAUCGGGUUCCUAAGGUUUAAGCUAAUGUGCUUUUAAAUAAUACAUUUUCUUAACCACAGUAAAACAAACAGCACGUGUGCGUAGAUAGUAAUGGUUAGCUUUUGUGUAUAUUUUUUAAUUGCUUUAUGUCAAUAUGUUCAUAUCACAGAUACUUAGUGAUGAGUUCAGCCUGAGGUGCAGGAGGAAUCCAGUUGCUGAGAAAUGACCAUGCUUCCUCUAAGUCCUCAGCUGGGGCAAUCCCGUGUGCAGUAGCCUCCUGCACCCUGGGCUGCAGCAGUGGCAGACAACGUUCUCCUAAGAGCAGGGCAAUUCCUUGCUGAGUGGGUUUUUGUGAAUCCCAUAGCACACGUAGGCUGACGCUGUGAUGGAGUGUCUUGCCAUUGUUGUCCAGCAGCCCCUUCCAUAGCAAGUUGUCCUCUCAGUUCUCAGGCUCACCUUUACUUGCCCAGCCGUCAGGACUCUGCUACUAUGUUUUGUUCUGUUUAUGUUUUCUUUCAAACUGCAUCUGCUUCAAGUUUAGUAGAGACGUGGAUUUUAGGUAGGCCUCCUUUGAGAAAUGUGUACUAUUCAAUGGUGUUCACAGAUUUUAAAUCAAGACGCCUGAGAAUGGUUUUAGAUUUUGUCUCUUUUUGUGCCAGUCUGUGACUUCUAUUUGCUAAGUGACUUGACUGUAGUUUCCAAAAACAGAAAAAGGUGAAGUAUCUGGGCUAGCCUGUUCACCUCUGAUCUCUCAUGUCUGGGCAAAUGUCAGUUUCUUACAUGGUGAAACCUGACAUUGAAAGAUGAAUGACUGUGCAGUGGGAAGCUGAGGUGUUCGCGUCCAGAUCCAUAGUCUCCUCAGUUCACAGAAGUGGGCUGAGGAGGAAAGCUCAGUAAAGAAGGACAAGAUCAGAACCAUAGCCUUUAAAAAAAAAUCAGCUUUCACACCCCAUUUGCGGUCUUCACCACUGGGCUACCAGUCAGCAGCCCAGCCUGCUGCAAGGAGAGAGCAUAUGAUGUAGGUGUUUUUUGUCAAGAACAUCCUUUUAAUCUAACAUUGGUUGUUCCUUCUCAUCCUCAGUGCGCUUUUGACCUAGAAAAGCACCCUAAGAACCGUUGAAGACUUACCCCAGACUGAGUGGCCACUAAAGCCGUUACAGAUGAACACACGUGUGUGUGCUCGGCU
RNAcentral lists this long non-coding RNA (2106 nucleotides) under Mus caroli (Ryukyu mouse). Its description in RNAcentral is "lncRNA (MGP_CAROLIEiJ_G0034438.1)". The record is from RNAcentral. Lineage: Eukaryota; Metazoa; Chordata; Mammalia; Rodentia; Muridae.